RNAcentral lists this non-coding RNA (27 nucleotides) under Rattus norvegicus (Norway rat). Lineage: Eukaryota; Metazoa; Chordata; Mammalia; Rodentia; Muridae. The record is from RNAcentral.
UUCAAUUCUCCUUUGAUCUGCUAGACA